RNAcentral lists this ribosomal RNA (699 nucleotides) under Stenotrophomonas rhizophila. RNAcentral's name for it is "bacterial SSU rRNA". It matches the Rfam family "Bacterial small subunit ribosomal RNA", at positions 56 to 742 of the family's 1533-position model. The record is from RNAcentral. Lineage: Bacteria; Pseudomonadati; Pseudomonadota; Gammaproteobacteria; Lysobacterales; Lysobacteraceae.
UGCAGUCGAACGGCAGCACAGGAGAGCUUGCUCUCUGGGUGGCGAGUGGCGGACGGGUGAGGAAUACAUCGGAAUCUACCUUUUCGUGGGGGAUAACGUAGGGAAACUUACGCUAAUACCGCAUACGACCUUCGGGUGAAAGCAGGGGACCUUCGGGCCUUGCGCGGAUAGAUGAGCCGAUGUCGGAUUAGCUAGUUGGCGGGGUAAAGGCCCACCAAGGCGACGAUCCGUAGCUGGUCUGAGAGGAUGAUCAGCCACACUGGAACUGAGACACGGUCCAGACUCCUACGGGAGGCAGCAGUGGGGAAUAUUGGACAAUGGGCGCAAGCCUGAUCCAGCCAUACCGCGUGGGUGAAGAAGGCCUUCGGGUUGUAAAGCCCUUUUGUUGGGAAAGAAAAGCAGCCGGUUAAUACCCGGUUGUUCUGACGGUACCCAAAGAAUAAGCACCGGCUAACUUCGUGCCAGCAGCCGCGGUAAUACGAAGGGUGCAAGCGUUACUCGGAAUUACUGGGCGUAAAGCGUGCGUAGGUGGUUGUUUAAGUCUGUUGUGAAAGCCCUGGGCUCAACCUGGGAAUUGCAGUGGAUACUGGGCGACUAGAGUGUGGUAGAAGGGUAGUGGAAUUCCUGGUGUAGCAGUGAAAUGCGUAGAGAUCAGGAGGAACAUCCAUUGGCGAAGGCAGCUACCUUGGACCAACACUG